UCAUUUGCUAUACACACCAAAAUCUCAGACAAUACAUCUGAGUGAGAGCAAAGUGAGGUGUUCCAUAGACUGUGAGAAAAUAGUCUGUGAAGAAAAAUAGAGUGUGAGUGAUAUUGUAGUAAGGUGGGAAAUCAAAAGAGUGUUAUUUCUUUUGAGGGUGUAGUGGUCUUAGGAGUAUUUGUACUCGUUACUACACAGUGUAAAAUUCCUCGCUAUAGUGAUAUCAGCUGCUCCUCUUGGCCGUGGUUUUUCCCUUAUUCAGAAGGGUUUCCACGUAAAAUCUUGGUGUCAUUAUUGCUGCAUUUUAUUCUUGCUGAUUUAACCAUAAGUUAGUGUUCCGCGUUUAUCACUAAUACCGUGAAUAUUAUUUUUGCGGGUCUAUUUUAUUCCCAACAAGUGGUAUCAGAGCCAAGGUUCUGUCUGAGUAUGCUCUGUGGUUGCAGCACAGUCUGAACUUCCACAUCAGAAAAGAAUUACUUUGGUCCUCGAAUAAAAUAGUAUUUGUGUUUGUGAUAAACGAUGGAAGCCAACACUAGUAGAAUGGUUACUUUGAGUGGCGUAAAUUAUGCCAUUUGGAAGGGCAAAAUGGAAGAUUUGCUCUGUGUCAAGAAUUUUCAUCAACCUGUCUUUGGAAAUAAAAAGCCUGAUAAUAAAUCAGAUGAAGAGUGGAAUUUGUUGCAUCGGCAGGUUUGCGGCUUUAUUAGACAGUGGGUUGACGAUAAUGUGUUGAACCAUAUUUCUGGGGAGACACAUGCUCGGACCCUAUGGAAGCAUCUUGAAAGUUUGUAUGCUCGAAAAACUCGUACCAACAAGAUGUAUGCAAUGGUAUGCACUCGACCAGAUAUUGCUCAUGCAGUCGGUGUUGUUAGCAGAUUUCUCGAAAAUCCAGGGAAAGAGCAUUGGGAAGCUAUGAAGUGGAUACUCAGGUAUCUAAGAGGAAGCUCAGGGGGAGCUAUACCAUGGCAGUCGAAGUUGCAGAAGUGUGUCGCACUAUCAGAUAUGCUGACCAAGGUGGUACCGAGAGACAAGUUCGAAUCGUGCAAAGAACUUGUCGGCAUGCACUCAAAUUAGAAGCCAGUGUACCCUCCUUCAGGUGAAUGGGACUGGAGGGGGAGAUUUGUGGGGUCCAGUCCUCUAUCCCAUAUUUUAAGAAAGGAAGAUUUUUCUUCCUUUGACAAAAUCACAUUGGUAGCAAUUGUGGAAUUGGCCAACAAGUCAAUUCUUUUGUUCACAUAGCCGUGAUGUAAGCGCUUACCUCAUCUUAGUCGUGAUGUAAGCGCUUACCUCAUCAUAAUCGUGAUGUAAGCGCUUAGCUCAUCAUAGUCGUGAUGUAAGCGCUUACCUCAUCAUAGGAAAUUCAUUCCUAUAAAUAGGCGGCCUAUGGUUCAUUUGUAUCAUUACCAAGAUCAUUUGCUAUACACACCAAAAUCUCAGACAAUACAUCUGAGUGAGAGCAAAGUGAGGUGUUCCAUAGACUGUGAGAAAAUAGUCUGUGAAGAAAAAUAGAGUGUGAGUGAUAUUGUAGUAAGGUGGGAAAUCAAAAGAGUGUUAUUUCUUUUGAGGGUGUAGUGGUCUUAGGAGUAUUUGUACUCGUUACUACACAGUGUAAAAUUCCUCGCUAUAGUGAUAUCAGCUGCUCCUCUUGGCCGUGGUUUUUCCCUUAUUCAGAAGGGUUUCCACGUAAAAUCUUGGUGUCAUUAUUGCUGCAUUUUAUUCUUGCUGAUUUAACCAUAAGUUAGUGUUCCGCGUUUAUCACUAAUACCGUGAAUAUUAUUUUUGCGGGUCUAUUUUAUUCCCAACAGUUCUUGCUAAAACCUUUAAAUAUUUGAGUUAGUUUAAGUUUUAAAUCUUUGUUUUCUUUUGAUUGUGGCUGAGUUAGGGAUUUGAGGAGCAUCUCCAAAUCUAUUCUCGACAAGGGUUGCACUCAAAAAAGGUAUCCGGAGAUACAUCUGAAUAUGACACUCGGAAGGAACCCGAAGACUUCAUCGAAUCAGUGUUUGUAUUUACUUUCCGCAUUUUUUUAUAACUGUACAAACAUAAACUCAACGUAUAGUGGGAACUUUAUUUUUGGAAUGACGGGUUGAUAUAUUUA
This is a long non-coding RNA of Lycium barbarum (goji berry), 2092 nucleotides long. RefSeq lists it as uncharacterized. The transcript has 2 exons. Lineage: Eukaryota; Viridiplantae; Streptophyta; Magnoliopsida; Solanales; Solanaceae. The record is from RefSeq and is a predicted model, not a curated record.